AUUCCAGCUCCAAUAGCGUAUAUUUAAGUUGUUGCAGUUAAAAAGCUCGUAGUUGGAUUUCGGUUAAGAGCGACCGGUCCGCCGUUUGGUGUGCACUGGUUGGUUUUAACUUCCUGUAGAGGACGUGCUCUGGGCUUAACGGUCUGGACUCGGAGUCUACGUGGUUACUUUGAAAAAAUUAGAGUGUUCAAAGCGGGCUUACGCUUGAAUAUUUCAGCAUGGAAUAACACUAUAGGACUCCUGUCCUAUUUCGUUGGUCUCGGGACGGGAGUAAUGAUUAAGAGGAACAGUUGGGGGCAUUCGUAUUUCAUUGUCAGAGGUGAAAUUCUUGGAUUUAUGAAAGACGAACUUCUGCGAAAGCAUUUGCCAAGGAUGUUUUCAUCA
RNAcentral lists this ribosomal RNA (384 nucleotides) under Micromonas sp. Its description in RNAcentral is "partial small subunit ribosomal RNA". It matches the Rfam family "Eukaryotic small subunit ribosomal RNA", at positions 582 to 975 of the family's 1831-position model. The record is from RNAcentral. Lineage: Eukaryota; Viridiplantae; Chlorophyta; Mamiellophyceae; Mamiellales; Mamiellaceae.